This 253-nucleotide ribosomal RNA is filed under the name uncultured bacterium. Its description in RNAcentral is "partial 16S ribosomal RNA". It matches the Rfam family "Bacterial small subunit ribosomal RNA", at positions 524 to 776 of the family's 1533-position model. The record is from RNAcentral.
UACGUAGGGUGCAAGCGUUAAUCGGAAUUACUGGGCGUAAAGCGUGCGCAGGCGGUUUUGUAAGUCUGUCGUGAAAGCCCCGGGCUCAACCUGGGAAUUGCGAUGGAGACUGCAAGGCUUGAAUCUGGCAGAGGGGGGUAGAAUUCCACGUGUAGCAGUGAAAUGCGUAGAGAUGUGGAGGAACACCGAUGGCGAAGGCAGCCCCCUGGGUCAAGAUUGACGCUCAUGCACGAAAGCGUGGGGAGCAAACCGG